RNAcentral lists this ribosomal RNA (209 nucleotides) under uncultured Mesotoga sp. Its description in RNAcentral is "partial 16S ribosomal RNA". It matches the Rfam family "Bacterial small subunit ribosomal RNA", at positions 568 to 775 of the family's 1533-position model. Lineage: Bacteria; Thermotogati; Thermotogota; Thermotogae; Kosmotogales; Kosmotogaceae. The record is from RNAcentral.
AGCGUAGGUGGCCUAACAUGUCAACUGUGAAAACCCGGAGCUCAACUCCGGACUUGCAGUUGAAACUGGUAGGCUUGAGGACGGUAGAGGAAGACGGAACUGCCAGUGUAGGGGUAAAAUCCUUAGAUAUUGGCAGGAACGCCGGUGACGAAGGUGGUUUUCUGGGCCGGUUCUGACACUGAUGCUCGAAAGCCAGGGGGAGCGAACGG